GACGAACGCUGGCGGCGUGCUUAACACAUGCAAGUCGAACGGAAAGUCCCUGCUUUGGUGGGGUGCUCGAGUUGCGAACUGGUGAGUAACACUUGAGUAACCUGCCCUUGACUUUGGGAUAACUUCAUGAAACUUGGGCUAAUAGCGGGUAGGAGCUCCUGCUUCAUGGUGGGGGUUGGAAGGUUUCGGCGGUUGGGAAUGGACUCGCGGCUUAUCAGCUUGUUGGUUAGGUAGUGGCUUACCAAGGCUUUGACGGGUAGCCGGGCUGGGAGGGUGACCGGAUCAAUUGGGCCUGAGCUACGGCACAGACUAGUCCGGGAGGCAGCGGAGGAGAAUAGUGCAUAAUGGGAGGAGGCAUGAUGUAGCAAAGCAGCGUGCGGGAUGACGGCAUUCCGGUUGUAAUCCGCUUUCGCCUGUGACGAAGCGUGAGUGACAGUAAUGGGUAAAGAAGCACCGGCUAACUCCGUG
This 468-nucleotide ribosomal RNA is filed under the name uncultured bacterium. Its description in RNAcentral is "partial 16S ribosomal RNA". It matches the Rfam family "Bacterial small subunit ribosomal RNA", at positions 28 to 507 of the family's 1533-position model. The record is from RNAcentral.